GGGUGGUGAUCAGUCACUCACCCCACCCAGCAGCUACUUAAUAGUCACAGGCUCUGUCCCACUGAGGGGUAUCAGCCCUUCCUGUUGUCCCCACAGGAAGUGCCAUCUAUAACCCCUGCAACAGGGCGGGUCAGGUCCUCAUGGGACUCCAGGCUGUCCUGGAAGCUGGAGCACAGGAAGUUGGGGGUGCAUGAAUGUCGGUUGCAACCAGAUGCCCUUCUGUGGGGCCAGAUCUACUCACCUACUGACACAGUAGAACGCGAUCAGUCUGAAGAUGUCCUCAAACACAAGAACCGAGCCUUCCAGGAGCCCAGAGGGACACCUCAGACCUGAGGGAGUCCCGACAGACAGCUUCACGUCAUCCUGGAGCACGGGCUAAUGCAAAUGGGAUUCAGCUCUACAUCUACCUUCCGGCCCAAAACCUUUCCCGAGUGUUCCGACCUCCCCCGGGGAAAGCUGCACACAGGAGGGACUAUGCAAACCACACAUUUUCCCAUCAGGGAAACGUCAUACAUACCCUCACAUUGUGAUGUGAGGUCAUGAGACUGUGGACCCCCUGAGAGCAGGAAUAGGUCUUAACUUUCCUCAUCACCUGCCCUGCACCUGACACCGUGUUGGGCACACAGGAGGACUCUGAAAGGGACAGCCGGGCUGACCAGGCCCUCCGGGGCUGGAAUCGAGAGUGGACCAAAUUUAUAGAGACAAAAAGUAGGUUAGUGGCUGCUUAGGGCUCGGGGGUGGGGGAGGGAGGAGAGGUAGGGAGAUGAUAUGGUUUUCAUUUUUUUAAAAAUCAUGUUGAGUUACAAAAACACACAAUUUAGCAUUUUAACUAUUUUAGGGGUGCAGUUCAGUAGCAUUAAGUACAAACACAUUGGGCAACACGGGGCUUCUUUUUUGAGGUGAUAAAAUGUCCUCACACUCACUAGGGUGGGGAUACACUACUCUGAACCAAAAGCCGCUAAAGGAGCCCCCUAAGUGGGUGAAUUGUGUGAACUAAAUAUAUUAUAUGGCUAUCUUUCAAUAAAGCCACUACAUAAAAAAAAGGAGUGGACUGAAUUUCACUGCCUAGAUUGUGUUUUUCUGGGAGUUUUAUAAUGAGCAUAUAUGACCUCAGUAAGCAGAGAAACUGUAAAGAGUCUACAUUUUUCUAUAGCCUUUAAAAAAAAAUGUUUAUUUUUGAGAAAGAGAGAGAGACAGAGUGUGAGCAGGGGAGGGGCAGAGAGAGAGGGAGACACAGAAUCCGAAGCAGG
Molecule: long non-coding RNA, 1250 nt
Organism: Felis catus (domestic cat)
Lineage: Eukaryota; Metazoa; Chordata; Mammalia; Carnivora; Felidae
Exons: 4
Source: RefSeq, a predicted model, not a curated record